Molecule: ribosomal RNA, 589 nt
Filed under: uncultured bacterium
Lineage: Bacteria
Description: partial 16S ribosomal RNA
Rfam family: Bacterial small subunit ribosomal RNA
Source: RNAcentral
UGGGGAAUAUUGGACAAUGGGCGCAAGCCUGAUCCAGCCAUACCGCGUGGGUGAAGAAGGCCUUCGGGUUGUAAAGCCCUUUUGUUGGGAAAGAAAGCAUUCGGUUAAUACCCGAUUGUUCUGACGGUACCCAAAGAAUAAGCACCGGCUAACUUCGUGCCAGCAGCCGCGGUAAUACGAAGGGUGCAAGCGUUACUCGGAAUUACUGGGCGUAAAGCGUGCGUAGGUGGUUGUUUAAGUCUGUCGUGAAAGCCCUGGGCUCAACCUGGGAAUUGCGAUGGAAACUGGGCGACUAGAGUGUGGCAGAGGGUAGUGGAAUUCCUGGUGUAGCAGUGAAAUGCGUAGAGAUCAGGAGGAACAUCCGUGGCGAAGGCGACUGCCUGGGCCAACACUGACACUGAGGCACGAAAAGCGUGGGGAGCAAACAGGAUUAGAUACCCUGGUAGUCCACGCCCUAAACGAUGCGAACUGGAUGUUGGGUGCAAUUUUGGCACGCAGUAUCGAAGCUAACGCGUUAAGUUCGCCGCCUGGGGAGUACGGUCGCAAGACUGAAACUCAAAUGAAUUGACGGGGUCAUAGCUGUUUUCCU